UUGAAGCCUUCCAUACUUAUAGGC
This 24-nucleotide non-coding RNA is filed under the name Arabidopsis thaliana (thale cress). Lineage: Eukaryota; Viridiplantae; Streptophyta; Magnoliopsida; Brassicales; Brassicaceae. The record is from RNAcentral.